AGCCAAAUUCUUGGUGGUUUCCUUCACUUAGUUCCCUCUGCAGAGAACUAUGUUCUGGUGACAUUUCAGGGCUAUGAAAUAGAGUCACGGACAGAUCCCGCUGAGAGCAACUGCUCGCGCUGCCGUACCUGGGGAUUGGAUCUGCUCGGGAGGACCACCAGGUCAUGGGAUUGAACGUAAACGCCAGAAAUAGUUGCAGUUCCCAGUUUACCUACCCUCUGGCCCUUUAAAUUGAGGUGGGAAAGAAAGAAAAGGUGUUUCUGUUGGAGUGGCUGUUUGUCACCUGGUUCCUGUAGGCUUACAUCCCUUCUAACUGGUAAGUUUGGGGGGUUUAUGGUAUUUUUUGUGAUUAUUC
Molecule: long non-coding RNA, 355 nt
Filed under: Calidris pugnax (ruff)
Lineage: Eukaryota; Metazoa; Chordata; Aves; Charadriiformes; Scolopacidae
Description: lncRNA (ENSCPUG00000016468.1)
Source: RNAcentral